RNAcentral lists this ribosomal RNA (471 nucleotides) under uncultured bacterium. Its description in RNAcentral is "bacterial SSU rRNA". It matches the Rfam family "Bacterial small subunit ribosomal RNA", at positions 28 to 422 of the family's 1533-position model. The record is from RNAcentral.
GAUGAACGCUGGCGGCGUGCCUAAUACAUGCAAGUCGAGCGGUAAGGCUCUCACAGAUUAUUUGAUCAUGGUAACUCCGGUUAUCGCAGCAAACCAAUGGAAUUCUCCGGCUAGAGAAGGAAUUGGGGCGGGAAGAUCGAAUGAUGUGUGAGAGUACACGAGCGGCGGACGGCUGAGUAACGCGUAGGAACAUACCCCAAAGUGAGGGAUAAGCACCAGAAAUGGUGUCUAAUACCGCAUGUGGUCUUCGGAUUAAAGCUUUAUGCGCUUUGGGAAUGGCCUGCGUCCGAUUAGCUAGUUGGUGAGGUAAUAGCUCACCAAGGCGACGAUCGGUAGCUGGUCUGAGAGGAUGAUCAGCCAGACUGGGACUGAGAACGGCCCAGACUCCUACGGGAGGCAGCAGUAGGGAAUUUUCCACAAUGGACGAAAGUCUGAUGGAGCAACGCCGCGUGCAGGAUGAAUGCCUUCGGG